RNAcentral lists this ribosomal RNA (274 nucleotides) under uncultured bacterium. RNAcentral describes it as "partial 16S ribosomal RNA". It matches the Rfam family "Bacterial small subunit ribosomal RNA", at positions 523 to 796 of the family's 1533-position model. The record is from RNAcentral.
CUACGGAGGGUGCAAGCGUUGUUCGGAAUUAUUGGGCGUAAAGAGCAUGUAGGCGGACUGUUAAGUCUGGUGUGAAAGCCCGGGGCUCAACCCCGGAAGUGCAUUGGAUACUGGCAGUCUUGAGUAUGGGAGAGGAAAGUGGAAUUCCGAGUGUAGGAGUGAAAUCCGUAGAUAUUCGGAGGAACACCAGUGGCGAAGGCGGCUUUCUGGACCAAUACUGACGCUGAGAUGCGAAAGCGUGGGGAGCGAACAGGAUUAGAAACCCUUGUAGUCC